ACUCUGGCGGCGGGCGAAGACCUCCUUCACUUUUUACCCCCCUCCUUUCCCAGUUCCUUGUUCGCUUCUCGGGGGGGCGGCGGGGGGCCGUCUGGUGACCCUGUAGGUCGGGCUUGGAGGGCGCCGGGUCUGCGGCAACAGAGUGCCCUCCUCUGGGCGCUGGGCGGCCUGCUGCCUCCGAGGCCCGGGCGGCCUCCGCGGUCUCCAUGGUAACGGCCGCGCUGGCUUCUCCGCCUCGGGGGGAAGAUGCGGCCUGCGGGGCCGGCCGUCUCGCCCCCUGCCUCAUCGCGGGGCCGGGGCCACUGAGGAGGAAGGUCCCGGCCACCGGACUGCGGGGCAGCGGGCACCAGUGAAAUCCCAUUCCCUGUCUGGAGACACAGAUGGCCUCAAAUGAGAGAGAUGCUAUAUCGUGGUACCAAAAGAAGAUUGGAGCAUAUGAUCAGCAGAUCUGGGAAAAGUCAAUCGAACAGACUCAGAUUAAGGGCUUCAAAAACAAACCAAAAAAGAUGGGCCACAUAAAACCAGACUUGAUUGACGUUGACUUAAUCAGAGGCUCAACAUUUGCCAAAGCCAAACCUGAAAUUCCAUGGACAUCUCUGACUCGGAAGGGGCUUGUACGAGUUGUGUUUUUCCCCUUGUUCAGCAACUGGUGGAUUCAGGUGACCUCUUUAAGAAUCUUUGUUUGGCUGCUACUGCUUUACCUCAUGCAAGUUCUAGCACUCGUGUUGUAUUUUAUGAUGCCUAUUGUGAAUGUAAGUGAAGUGCUUGGACCCUUGUGCCUUAUGUUACUCAUGGGAACUGUCCACUGUCAGAUCGUGUCUACUCAGAUAACAAGGCCAUCGGGAAACAAUGGAAAUCGGAGAAGAAGAAAAUUACGGAAAACUGUCAAUGGUGAUGGGAGCCGAGAAAAUGGAAAUAACUCCUCUGAUAAAGUCAGAGGAGUGGAAACUUUGGAGUCUAUUCCCUUUAUUGGCAGUUUUUGGGAGACUCUCUUUGGGAACAGGAGUAAAAGAGUAAAACUAAUCAGUAACAAAGGGACUGAAACGGACAAUGACUCAAGUUGUCUGCAUCCUAUCAUUAAGAAGAGACAGUGUCGACCAGAGACUAAAAUGUGGCAAACAAGAGAGAAAGCAAAAUUUUCAGAUGGAGAGAAGUGCCACAGGGAGGCUUUCAGGCGACUGGGGAAUGGGAUUUCGGAUGAUCUGUCCAGUGAGGAGGACGGUGAAGCCCGGACACAGAUGAUGAUGCUACGUAGAAGUGUGGAAGGGGCCUCAAGUGACAACGGCUGUGAAGUGAAGAAUAGAAAAUCCAUACUUACCAGGCACCUCAACACUCAGGUAAAGAAAAGCACUCCCAAGUGGUGUCACACAGCUCGGGAUUCGGAUAGUCUGGCAGAAUCAGAAUUUGAAUCGGCAGCCUUCAGUCAGGGCUCAAGGUCGGGCAUGAGUGGUGGCUCCCGAAGCCUCCACAUGUCGAGAAGAGACUCAGAAAGCACCCGCCAUGACUCGGAGACUGAGGAUAUGCUAUGGGACGACCUGCUGCAUGGCCCAGAGUGUCGAUCGUCUGUCACCAGUGACAGUGAGGGGGCCCAUGUGAAUACCCUUCACUCAGGGACCAAACGUGACCCCAAAGAAGAUGUUUUUCAGCAGAACCACUUAUUCUGGCUUCAGAACUCAAGUCCUGCCUCUGAUCGAGUUAGUGCAAUAAUCUGGGAAGGGAAUGAGUGCAAAAAGAUGGAUAUGUCUGUGUUGGAAAUAAGUGGCAUCAUCAUGAGCAGGGUGAAUGCAUAUCAGCAAGGAGUAGGUUAUCAGAUGCUGGGAAAUGUCGUCACCAUUGGACUAGCAUUUUUUCCUUUUUUACAUCGACUUUUCCGUGACAAGAGCCUUGACCAGCUAAAGUCCAUUUCAGCUGAGGAGAUCAUGACUCUUUUUUGUGGGGCACCACCUGUUACACCUAUCAUUAUUUUGUCUAUGAUUAAUUUUUUUGAACGAUUGUGUCUUACUUGGAUUUUUUUUUUCAUGAUGUGUGUGGCAGAGAGAACGUAUAAACAGAGAUUUUUAUUUGCAAAACUCUUCAGCCAUAUUACCUCUGCCAGGAAAGCUAGGAAAUACGAAAUACCUCAUUUCAGACUUAAAAAAGUGGAGAACAUUAAGAUAUGGUUAUCACUGCGUUCCUUUCUAAAGAGACGGGGUCCGCAGCGUUCAGUUGAUGUGGUUGUAUCUUCGGUCUUCUUGCUGACACUUUCCAUUGCUUUCAUUUGCUGUGCCCAGGUUCUCCAAGGGCAUAAAACUUUCCUGAAUGAUGCUUAUAAUUGGGAAUUUUUGAUCUGGGAAACAGCUUUACUACUUUUCUUGCUGCGUCUUGCUUCACUGGGGUCUGAAACCAAUAAGAAAUACAGCAAUGUUUCAAUAUUACUUACUGAGCAGAUUAAUUUAUAUCUUAAGAUGGAGAAAAAGCCGAAUAAGAAAGAACAGCUUACUCUAGUAAAUAAUGUAUUAAAGCUGUCUACCAAGUUAUUGAAAGAGUUGGACACACCAUUUAGACUCUAUGGACUGACGAUGAAUCCCUUAAUCUACAAUAUCACACGAGUCGUUAUCCUUUCUGCUGUCUCAGGUGUUAUAAGUGAUCUUCUAGGAUUUAAUAUAAGAGUUAAUGCUGGCCUUAUAGAAUGAAUUUGGAAGCAUUCCUUCUUCUUCAACUUUUUUGGAAGAGUUGGAGGUGAUUGGUGUCCAUCUUGAAUAAGGAAGUUUGAAUUUCACAAAUGUGCAAUAAUUCCAUACCUUCCCUGCAGCAUGCCUGAGCGUAUAAGUUGUAAUAAGGUAUUACUCAAAGUAACAAAUGAUUGUUUAUUAAGGACAAAAUAAGCCUCUAGAUUUGUGUAUUUGCUAAUAAUAGUUCUGCUUGGCUUUACUGCAAACACUGUGAAACAGACAAAUUCCCAAAGGAUUCUCUGUCAAAAUCAUAGGUUUAGACUAAGUUAAAGCACUUGGCUAUGUUUUCAUAUUUUUAGUGUAGAUGAGAAAGAUUCAGAGUUCUCUAGUGGCUAGAAUCACGCUCUUCCCAUGAGGCGGUCUUGCAUAGCAACAAUGAAGACCGAUCCAAGUUAGUGGCUCUCUUAAACUAAUUCAGUUAACUAAAGCAGAGAUUACGGAUUUCAUGUAAUAAUUAUGGCAUGCUUAAACAAGUCGUUGUACUGAUGAUGAACCUUGAGAGCAGGACCAGUCAAGAGCUGCCUGAAUAAAUCAGCCUGUUAUGUUUAACACACGCAGAUAGUUCUCAGGCAUUGGAGCAUGCCACAAUGAUGUAAAAAGUUGCUCUGAUAUAGUCUUCAUUCUAGAGCGAAACGUCACAUUUUGUGCAAAAGUCUGUUUUUAUACCAGUUACCAGUGUUCUGCAGGAGCAGCCUAUGGACCGAGCUUCAGCUUAAACACAUCUUUGUAGAGGUCAUUAGAUUGUUACACAGUUUAAAUAAUUUGAAGAGUCCUUGCUUUUCUAAACCACACUCUUUGAAUGUCGGACAUACUAUGAAAUUCUUCAUUUGUGCAUGUGUUUAAAAGCAUCUGGCUUUUCCUACGUGGGAAUAUCUAUUUAAAGGGAAAACCCAAGAUAUUUUCAUGUAGAAAUAAAAAGCCAAAUGCUUUUGCGUCUGAGACUUCUUGGUUUAUACAGUUUGAUGUAACUAGGAUCUCGGUGUCUCACUGGUAGCAAGACAAUGCACUAGCAUCCCAGGACUCCAUGAGAAGACAGGUCCAUCCAAACUAUUUUGGUGCCACUUCCUACAGCCUUUGCCAUGGCGCGCAGCUCCACUGUGGGGCUCGGGUUUCACUUUUAGUGUGAGUUCAUGCAAUGGUAGGACUUUGUGUUUACCUGCAAGAGUAAAAUAACCAUGGGCGUGAAAUAGGUUUUGGCCGUCAAUCACACCAAAAAUUAAAUGAAACCCAAGUCAAAACACUUCAUUCUGAAAGUAAGUGUAACCUGUAGUAAAUGAAAUGACUUACUGCUGAAAUGCUACAGUCUGAUGAAAAAUUUUCGUGACCUUACGGUAAACUGGACUUACACUACUCUAUCCAUUAGCAAGGUCUACUCGCUGAACUUCCCAUAGGACAAGUCCUUUUCUCUCCGACAGGGUAGGAAAGAUUUUGGAGGGGUAGCAAAUUAUUUAUGCAAAGCUAUUUUCUUUACAAUGAACAGGCAUAAUGAUAAUUUCAAGGUUUACAUACAGAUAGAAGGAAAAGUCAUCAUUCUGAGUCUUCCUGAUUGUAGGAUUUUGAACAUUCCUCACUUGGAGGAACAAAAUCUCUUUGAGGACUCAGACUGUGAUAGCAAUUAGCCCCGUAAAGGGAAAGCAACAUUAAAUAAGCCUGACAGACAAAGAAAUGCAGGCCAUAAACAGAUUUUUGUUUUUGUUUUUAAUAUCUAUAUAAAAAAUAACGAGCAAUUUACAGAUCUCUUUCUCUAAUCAGAACCUCAGAUGUAUAUAUAAAGGUACUGUACAAUAUAUAAACAUUUACAACCAGUACAUCCAUAUUUUGCUUAGCAUUCCAAGGCCACAUUGCUAAGUCGGUAUAUAAUCAGUACAGUGACGGGUUACUUAGAAAGAAAAGAGCCACAUCAGACUGACAACAUAUGACAUCAAAGUUAUGUCACAGUUAACAAUAAAAAUAGGAUUUUUAUCACUAAUUGUGGACUAUAGGGAAAAUAAAUCAUUUCUGUGGUGCUAAAUUCUUAGCAUGGAUCAAGUCUCCUAAUUUUUCUCUAUUCAAGUAGUUACAAGAGGUGGGUAAAUAUAGUUCUGGAUGAAAGGGGAUUUCAGAAAUCUCACUCUGGGAAGGCAUGUCUCAGUUACAAGGGCGGCUUCAGUUGGUACAUUAAAGACUUUCACAGUCGGACUGUGAGAGGACAGGGCCUGGACGUACCAUGUUUCACAAGAACAAGAUGAACCCGGGUGAUGGAACAGGUAUGUUCGAAUACUCCAUAAAAUGGUUGUGUUCUGAGAUCGGUCCUUUAUUCAUUGCUGCUACCGAAUGGUGCUUCUGGGGCCUGAAAAUCCUCGAUCUCUUUUAUGGAGCUAAAAACGGUCUCUACCUCCCAACAAACAUCUUUACUUAGACUUUUAAAAAGAAUUCUGAAAAUGUACAAACUAAGCAGAUGUCUAGUCUCCCUUUCUUGUUUUUUAAAUAAGUCACUGUAGCUAGAAAUUAAAACGAAAUCAGAUCUAGCAAGGGCUGUCUACUGCCACGUCUGUCCUCUUGCUGAGCAGGUCUGAACGCAGGUUCCGCUUCGAAACACCUGAGCUUGGACAGCUGCUGCCGGAGGCCCGGUCUGUAUCUGUGAAACUGCUUGCUGCUCGAGGCCCUCACAAUCCGUACCAUGUUUUGACUCUUCACGUACGCACUAUGUAGUAACGACUAACGAAUGAGUAGUAGGAGGUCCAACCCAAAUAUCCAGAAAUAGAAACCUGGCAGUUUUUCUCUGAACAGCAGUAAGCAGUAUUUCCACAUGCUUCUUUCUGGUUUUGUAACGAAAUAAACUGAAGGAAAAGGGUGACCUGAGAUGCUACGACCACAUCAGGGUUGGAUAAUACAGCAGGAGAGGAACUCUUCAUUGCCUAAAGCACUAGCUCAUUUUAAACAUCUAAUUGUAAGUAAUAUCUUUAAGUUACUUGAAAUACCUGAUCCAGCCGAAUUAAAAACCCAAAGAGAGUGUCGCUUUCUGACUCCAUUUUGUUUUUCUUUUCAGUAGUGAUGUUUUGGAGUUUCAUUUUUAAGCUGGGCCUGGGCCAUCACCAGUAGCUGGUAGAAAAGGCAACUGCCAUGUUUAAUGAUGAGUUAACAGUUCCUUCUUCUGCAAGGACUCAAAUGUGUCUCUCUGUAAACAUGCAGCAUGCUAUUGAGAAUAUCAACUUCCAAGCCAAACCUAGUUUUUUCAUUCCUGUGGAAAUAGCUGAGUGAGACGGAUAAAAGAGACAUGGAACAGUAGAUAACUUGGCACAGGUAUCAAGUCACAGUCGUUUCUCAGUCACACCUGUAGUGCCUGCGGCUUUGUGUGCACUUGGAACCUUCCAGGGCCCCGGAGUUAUGGGUGUUUUCUUAACGGGAGAAGCACUCUCAGGCACACCAUCUUUUAAUUCCUCUGUCUUUUCAUAUAUCUGACCUCUCAUCAAAGAUUCUUCAAUUACUGGUGCGGGAAACUCCUCAAAUACGGAAGCAGAAUGGAAAGAUGGGGGAAAUGGCUGCUCGUCAUAAAUCACAUUUGAAGAUGAAGGAGUAUUAACAUCCCAAUCACCUGCAAAGAGGGAUUUGAGUGGGACAUUAUUACAUUUUAGAAUUAUAAAGAGGAACUGUAAGUUGUGAACUCUGACAGCUCUUUGAAUUGGACUAACUGCUCAAAUAGUCUGAGUAUAUACGCUGAGCGCGCCUGAUAAAGGCGGGCCGUAUACACAGACAAGCACACAGACAGCUGCGCUUGUACACGAGGUGGUUGUACUCGUAGGCUGUUUAAAUACACACAGAGUAACAGUCAUUCUUCCAAUAAUUUAUGUAUAAUUCGUGAUACAAAGAAUUUAUACAUCGUAUAUGGUAAGUAGUAACGCUCAAUAAAAAACUUAGAAGAAAUAAUAAAAUCAAACCAAAUUACUUGGUUCAGGAAGCUUACUAAUUUGGCUGUUAUCAAAGGAUACAGCUUAUAGCUACGCCAAAAUCACUAGUAAAGGAGACCCAACUGUGGUAGCCAGAACGAGGUUUCGUGGGCAUUUGUCAAUAAUUUUCUUGCAUUAAGCUGUCAAAUUUAAUGUCAAAAGAGAACUGAAAAGUGCAGAAGAUAGAAAGAUGUAUUUAACAGCAUUUUUAAUUAAACAGAAAAAAAAGAAGGAAGUGAUUUACAAGACAUGCAAAUUUACCAAGUCUUUUUAAGGAAAGACCAAGAAAAGCCCUGAAAGCCUUAAUGUUGCUCAGGUUUCACGUAGGAGCACAGACCGGAAGGAGCCAAACCUGAAGAAGGAAGAGAAAAAGCCUAGGACUAUGUAAAAAAAAAAAAAAAA
RNA transcript from Enhydra lutris kenyoni (northern sea otter), 7039 nucleotides. It is a transcript of the gene named putative homeodomain transcription factor 1, with no coding region annotated. The record is from RefSeq and is a predicted model, not a curated record. NCBI's taxonomy places the organism in Eukaryota, Metazoa, Chordata, Mammalia, Carnivora, Mustelidae. The transcript is spliced from 22 exons.